This 199-nucleotide long non-coding RNA is filed under the name Capsicum annuum. Its description in RNAcentral is "long non-coding RNA (CANN_LNC005279)". Lineage: Eukaryota; Viridiplantae; Streptophyta; Magnoliopsida; Solanales; Solanaceae. The record is from RNAcentral.
GUGUUCUUUUAACUUAUUUUUCAAUUUCUUAAUCUCAGUGGGAGCCAUUCUGUAAAGAGUAAUUGAGAGAAGUUGGGUAUCCGAAAGAAGUCGCCCUCUGCAUCGUUAUUUUUUCCAUAGAUAUCUAAUUUAUCUUGUCAUUUAUUCCUUUUUGGUCUUUAUUAAUUUAUAUAAUCAUCAUCAUCCAGCUGCUCCUGCC